This 253-nucleotide ribosomal RNA is filed under the name uncultured bacterium. Its description in RNAcentral is "partial 16S ribosomal RNA". It matches the Rfam family "Bacterial small subunit ribosomal RNA", at positions 524 to 776 of the family's 1533-position model. The record is from RNAcentral.
CACGUAGGGCGCAAGCGUUGUCCGGAAUUAUUGGGCGUAAAGAGCUCGUAGGCGGUCUGUUACGUCUGCUGUGAAAACCCGGGGCUUAACCCUGGGCUUGCAGUGGAUACGGGCAGACUAGAGGCAGGUAGGGGAGAAUGGAAUUCCCGGUGUAGCGGUGAAAUGCGCAGAUAUCGGGAGGAACACCGGUGGCGAAGGCGGCUCUCUGGGACGGUACUGACGCUGAGACGCGAAAGCGUGGGGAGCGAACAGG